UUUUUAAACCUCGCCAUUUAGAGGAAGGUGAAGUCGUAACAAGGUUUCCGUAGGUGAACCUGCGGAAGGAUCAUUA
RNAcentral lists this ribosomal RNA (76 nucleotides) under Bremia lactucae (lettuce downy mildew). Its description in RNAcentral is "partial 18S ribosomal RNA". It matches the Rfam family "Eukaryotic small subunit ribosomal RNA", at positions 1756 to 1831 of the family's 1831-position model. The record is from RNAcentral. RNAcentral also lists the same sequence under 18 other names. Lineage: Eukaryota; Oomycota; Peronosporomycetes; Peronosporales; Peronosporaceae.